Non-coding RNA from Pimephales promelas (fathead minnow), 441 nucleotides. The record is from RefSeq and is a predicted model, not a curated record. NCBI's taxonomy places the organism in Eukaryota, Metazoa, Chordata, Actinopteri, Cypriniformes, Leuciscidae.
CCAAGAUCCAGAUGAGUACUGGCAAUUUGGUGGAGGAUUGCUCUUUAUCUACUACAUUGUACUGCCACUUCCGAGGCUCUUAAGAAGACAACACAGAUCAACUGGCAAGGAACUGAGAGGGAACUCUCAAAAUAGUCCAGGACAAGAGAUGGAGGAGGAGAGUGUCUAGAUGCGCAAAUGACUGUCUGCAGUGUAAGCUGUACUGAUAAAUGUACUGUAUAGUUGCUGCUUCUUCUAACUGUCACCAAUUUAUAUCCUGUUCAAAUGUUCAGUAAAGACUGGGUCAAAUACAGGUUCAAAAUAUGUAUUUUAACAAAUAGGUAUUAAAUAGAACUCUUUAAUCUGACAUAAAUCUGCUUCUUUAAAUAUUGUCCCUGGAAUUUCAGAAUAUAGCAUAAUAUGAUGAUGAGUAAUUUUAAUAAAAUUGAAAAUAUUUCAAUA